Molecule: ribosomal RNA, 253 nt
Filed under: uncultured bacterium
Lineage: Bacteria
Description: partial 16S ribosomal RNA
Rfam family: Bacterial small subunit ribosomal RNA
Source: RNAcentral
UACGUAGGGUGCGAGCGUUGUCCGGAAUUACUGGGCGUAAAGAGCUCGUAGGUGGUUUGUCGCGUUGUUCGUGAAAACUCACAGCUCAACUGUGGGCGUGCGGGCGAUACGGGCAGACUGGAGUACUGCAGGGGAGACUGGAAUUCCUGGUGUAGCGGUGGAAUGCGCAGAUAUCGAGAGGAACACCAGUGGCGAAGGCGAGUCCCUGGACAACUCCUGACGCUGAGGCACGAAAGCUAGGGGAGCAAACAGG